CCUCGCACCCCCGGCACGAGCCGCUGCGCCCCGAGCCCCGAACGGCGGCGCUGAGCGGAGCUGUCAGCCCCGGAGCGGCCAGAAGCUCAGAAACCAUACCCACUUCAUUAGCGUGGCAGCAGGGACUGUCAGCCCUUUCCUUUGAGGUUACUAAUGAAGCUCAGUGCCUGACGGUGCUGUUGGCAGCAGGCAGUGUGAUGGGUCAGUGGGAUCGGAGUGCAUCCCGGCUGUCACACUGGGACGCCCCCAUGUGCCCCCAUGUGCCCCCUGAGCCCGGCCGCGCUUUGGAGAGCAGCAGAGCUGCGGGGGCACAGCACACAAACUGUUAACUUUUCUUCACUCUGCUCACAAAUCCAUUUCUUCAGCCGAUGCCAAAGCAUGCGUUCCUCUAUCAAGACCAUAUGUACGCCAAGACUGAGGUUUUAAAGUCAAGGUGUUUGUGAAAUAUUGGAGUGCAAAUUAAGUAUCUGAGUAAUCCUAACUGUCUUCUCGAAAAAAUUCGCUAUCAGCUUCACUUAUUACUCCGAGGAUUAAUGGAAAGCUAAACUUUGAUCCGGGUCCAACAGCUGAUACCAGCCAUGAGGCUUUCCAGGCCUGAGAGCAGCGCAGAGGAAUCCGGCGGGCGGCUCUGCUGGGCGCUGCUCCAUCGGCACUGCGGCUCUGGGGCCGAUGCGGUUUUUGUUCUCAGCCCCUUAAAGCCUUCUGGUGUCACCUCUGUGCCGUAGCACCAAACGCUGCCUGGAGGGGCUGAUGUUGCACAGGGCACUGCAGGCUGCAGCCCCUCGCCCUGCGCUGCCCACAUCCCUGCCUCCCUCACCCUCAGCGCUCUGUCUGCCCAGAGAAAGGAACUCAUCCCUGCGUGGCUUAAGAAGGAUGAGGGGUGCAGAGCAUCCCAAUGAGCAGCGCUGGCGUGGCGCAGCUCAGCUGGGCACCGAGCACUGCGCUCCCAUUUGGUUCCUGCUGCUGCCCUGAGUGCAUUCUCUGACCCCUUCCCACCUUUCGCAGCGCUCUGUGGGGUCACUGUCAGAGAACUCCCGGUGGGGUUUUCCCUGUUGGAUUGAAGUGUGCUGUGGGAUGCAGGGAGCUCUGGGCUGGCUGCUCCGGACUCGGCCUUCACAGAAGCACCGGAGCCCUUUGAGGACAGAACUUCAUUACUGCCACUCUUGCAGUCCUGUCUUUGGUGAUGCCAUAAUUCCUGGUUGUGGUGCUUGAACAAAACCCCAACCCUUAUGUAAAUGCCCGAUUGCUUAUCUCCAUCGCUCGGCUUCCUGCAAUUUAGUAACACAGAAGCUGCAGUUCCAGUGCUUGGGGUGGAGAGAGUGAAAUGGGAGCACUUCUCUUUUUUUUUUUUGACACAAGCUGUGGCUGCAGCUCAACUCCUCGGUGUUGGGGUCCUCUCGGAGAGCGUAAUUAGGAACACAUUGAUUCUUAUUGCAGCUGGCAGCUGCUCACUAUUGCCUUUUUCAGCUUCUGACCCCCAUAGUCCCGCUGACCUUUCCUGGGGUUAGUCGUGGGCCCUUUGCAUUGUGAUGGGCUAGAAGUGGCUCAUGUGGAGUUGAUUAUUUCCUUGCUUGUCUGGCCUUUUUGGUGCCAUAACUCCAAGUCACUUCCAUUUUCUUCCCCUGCUUUUGGCUGACCACAGUGAAAGGAAAUGCUUUUGCUGGCGACAGGAUCAGUUUGCAUGCUUGACUGCCUCGAUUGAGACCCUGAAAAGGGGGGAGGGGGAGGGUAAUGAACACUGUAGGUGCUGCAUUUGCUUCUUAAAGGCUGAUGCUAAUGACUGAGCGAUCAUUAAGCAUUCAUAAAAAUGGCGCUGGGGCAGCUUGGGAUCGCUCUGGGCACCCUCAGCCCCGUGUGCAGGUGUGUGUGUGUGUGUGUGUGCAGUGUGCAUGGGGUGUGCACUGUGCUGUGCAGUGACAGCAGUGCUGCACUCCGCGCUGCGCCGCAGAGCCCCGCACAAAGCUAAUGAAGUCUCUGUGCCAGCUGUUACACUCAUUUUGCCGGACCCCAGGAGGAC
This 2017-nucleotide long non-coding RNA is filed under the name Gallus gallus (chicken). RNAcentral's name for it is "lncRNA (ENSGALG00010026290.1)". Lineage: Eukaryota; Metazoa; Chordata; Aves; Galliformes; Phasianidae. The record is from RNAcentral.